RNAcentral lists this unclassified non-coding RNA (421 nucleotides) under soil metagenome. Its description in RNAcentral is "partial contains 5.8S ribosomal RNA, internal transcribed spacer 2, and large subunit ribosomal RNA". The stretch from base 1 to 120 matches the Rfam family "5.8S ribosomal RNA", at positions 35 to 154 of the family's 154-position model. The record is from RNAcentral.
GAUGAAGAACGUAGUGAAAUGCGAUACGUAAUGUGAAUUGCAGAAUUCAGUGAAUCAUCGAAUCUUUGAACGCAUAUUGCGCUCUUUGGUAUUCCGAAGAGCAUGCUUGUUUGAGUAUCAGUAAACACCUCAACCUCUUCUUGAUUUUUCAAAAGGAGGGUGGACUUGAGCUAUCCCAACAACCUUUACCGGUCGGCUGGCGGCUUGAAAUGCAGGUGCAGCUGGACUUUUAUCUGAGCUAAAAGCAUAUCUAUUUAGUCCUCGUCAAACAGGAUUAUUACUUUUGCUGCAGCUAACAUAAAGGAUAAUUGUCCUCUUUGCUGACUGAUGCAGGAUUUUACGACACUUUAUGUGUUGUUCAACUCGAUCUCAAAUCAAGUAAGACUACCCGCUGAACUUAAGCAUAUCAAUAAGCGGAGGA